ACUGAUCCUUUAUGGAUUGCAACAUUAAAAUUAACUAAUGGUGAUCGUAGAGAAGCACUUAAAUUAUUAGAAGAUCCUGAUUCUUUAAUGCAAUAUCCUGAAAUUGCUAAAUUAAUUACUGAAGGAGGUGAUGAUAAAGAAGAUG
Molecule: non-coding RNA, 145 nt
Filed under: Paraphysomonas vestita
Lineage: Eukaryota; Chrysophyceae; Chromulinales; Paraphysomonadaceae
Source: RNAcentral